GACGAACGCUGGCGGCGUGCCUAAUACAUGCAAGUCGAGCGGACGGAUGGGAGCUUGCUCCCAGACCGUCAGCGGCGGACGGGUGAGUAACACGUGGGCAACCUGCCUGUAAGACUGGGAUAACUCCGGGAAACCGGGGCUAAUACCGGAUAACUCUUUCCCUCACCUGAGGGCAAGCUGAAAGAUGGCAUCUCGCUAUCACUUACAGAUGGGCCCGCGGCGCAUUAGCUAGUUGGUGAGGUAACGGCUCACCAAGGCGACGAUGCGUAGCCGACCUGAGAGGGUGAUCGGCCACACUGGGACUGAGACACGGCCCAGACUCCUACGGGAGGCAGCAGUAGGGAAUCUUCCGCAAUGGACGAAAGUCUGACGGAGCAACGCCGCGUGAGUGAUGAAGGUUUUCGGAUCGUAAAACUCUGUUGUCAGGGAAGAACAAGUACCGGAGUAACUGCCGGUACCUUGACGGUACCUGACCAGAAAGCCACGGCUAACUACGUG
RNAcentral lists this ribosomal RNA (498 nucleotides) under uncultured bacterium. Its description in RNAcentral is "partial 16S ribosomal RNA". It matches the Rfam family "Bacterial small subunit ribosomal RNA", at positions 28 to 507 of the family's 1533-position model. The record is from RNAcentral.